GUGGUCACUUCAGCUCGUAUACUAAAAUAACAAGUAUAUACAGAAGAUUAGCAUGGUCCCUUUGUAAGGAUGAUACAUAAAUUCAUAAUAUGUUUUAUGUAUGU
Molecule: small nuclear RNA, 104 nt
Organism: Ochotona princeps (American pika)
Lineage: Eukaryota; Metazoa; Chordata; Mammalia; Lagomorpha; Ochotonidae
Source: RefSeq, a predicted model, not a curated record